CUACGGGAGGCAGCAGUGAGGAAUUUUGCGCAAUGGGGGAAACCCUGACGCAGCAACGCCGCGUGAGCGAAGAAGGCCCUCGGGUCGUAAAGCUCUGUCAAGUGGGAAAAAAAUCUUUUGAUCAAUAGUCAAAAGACUUGAUGGUACCACUGGAGGAAGCACCGGCUAACUCCGUGCCAGCAGCCGCGAUAAUACGGAGGGUGCAAGCGUUGUUCGGAUUUACUGGGCGUAAAGAGCGUGUAGGCGGUUUAGCAAGUCAGAUGUGAAAGCCCUGGGCUCAACCCGGGAAGUGCAUUUGAAACUGCUUCACUAGAGUAUGGGAGAGGAGAUUGGAAUUCCUGGUGUAGAGGUGAAAUUCGUAGAUAUCAGGAGGAACACCCGUGGCGAAGGCGAUUCUCUGGACCAAUACUGACGCUGAGACGCGAAAGCGUGGGGAGCAAACAGGAUUAGAUACCCUCGUAGUC
This 464-nucleotide ribosomal RNA is filed under the name uncultured bacterium. Its description in RNAcentral is "partial 16S ribosomal RNA". It matches the Rfam family "Bacterial small subunit ribosomal RNA", at positions 339 to 795 of the family's 1533-position model. The record is from RNAcentral.